GUCGAGACGUCCACAGGAGCCAAGGAGCUCUCUUACUCAAAACCCUAACUUGCUCAAAUUGAUCAAAUCAAGAAAGCAAUUCAAGUUUAAAUAAAAAACCGAGCUCAAAUUAGUGAUCACCCGAGUGAAGGGAUCACAAGGCAAAAGGAGUUGAAUCCUCAAGCGGACAAGUCGGAGUGGAUACGCGCUUUUAGGAGAAGCACUAAAGGUGAUGAUAGUAUGCUUCCGGAUGGCGAUCAAGCAACGGACAAGAACCGAACACACAUCCGAACAAAGCUUCCGCGUUAAUUCAUUUUGUUUUAGUUAAAUGUGAAACAUGUAAACACCUGAUGCUACAUUUUGAAUGUUUUAAACUAGUACGGAUGUUAACUCGAAUACUUUAAUCAUGAAUGAACGUUAA
Long non-coding RNA from Helianthus annuus (common sunflower), 400 nucleotides. RefSeq lists it as uncharacterized. The transcript has 3 exons. NCBI's taxonomy places the organism in Eukaryota, Viridiplantae, Streptophyta, Magnoliopsida, Asterales, Asteraceae. The record is from RefSeq and is a predicted model, not a curated record.